UGUAUCUGAAGCCUGACGAGGAUGAGAACCUCCGGGGGCAAGAGGUUCGACCCGAGCGAAGCGAGAGAACGUUGCGUCAGCAACGGCCCGCAGG
Molecule: small RNA, 94 nt
Filed under: Salmonella enterica
Lineage: Bacteria; Pseudomonadati; Pseudomonadota; Gammaproteobacteria; Enterobacterales; Enterobacteriaceae
Also listed under: 5 other names
Description: partial RtT sRNA
Rfam family: RtT RNA
About the family: This family represents a bacterial cis-regulatory element known as RtT RNA.
Source: RNAcentral